Molecule: non-coding RNA, 103 nt
Filed under: uncultured Dysosmobacter sp.
Lineage: Bacteria; Bacillati; Bacillota; Clostridia; Eubacteriales; Oscillospiraceae
Description: THF riboswitch
Rfam family: THF (Tetrahydrofolate) riboswitch aptamer
About the family: THF riboswitch presents a pseudoknot that joins P1-P2 and the loop of P3 and two THF binding.
Source: RNAcentral
GCAGAGUAGGGACAUACGUGUCAUCCCAGUGCCGGAAAGACGGGGAGUUGCUUUCCGGACGAAAGGGCCGCGAGCCCGCAGUGUGUGUCCCGCAUCCCGCUGC